UACGUAGGUGGCAAGCGUUGUCCGGAUUUAUUGGGCGUAAAGCGAGCGCAGGCGGUUCCUUAAGUCUGAUGUGAAAGCCCACGGCUCAACCGUGGAAGGUCAUUGGAAACUGGGGAACUUGAGUGCAGAAGAGGAGAGUGGAAUUCCAUGUGUAGCGGUGAAAUGCGUAGAUAUAUGGAGGAACACGAGUGGCGAAGGCGACUCUCUGGUCUGUAACUGACGCUGAGGCUCGAAAGCGUGGGGAGCAAACAGGAUUAGA
Molecule: ribosomal RNA, 259 nt
Filed under: uncultured prokaryote
Description: partial 16S ribosomal RNA
Rfam family: Bacterial small subunit ribosomal RNA
Source: RNAcentral